AAAAGAAUGGCCCAGAUCCUCUGGACUCCUCAGAUGAGCGGAUUCAGAGAGAAGCUUUUGAGAGCGUGCUGGCGGAGACAUUUUUCACAAAAGAGCCCUUGCGGUGCUGGUGUCCGUGGCGUGCCUGGAUGGCCUCUGGAAGCUGUCAGUUGCAUUGCUGUCCCCCUGGCAAGCAUAGCCUCCUGCCUCCCUGUCACCCAACCUUGUCUAGUGGUCCCUCUGCCCUGCCUGAAGGCCCACCAACGCUGGCCGGCCUCCAAGCACCCGGGCCUCUGCUCAUGUACAGCUCCUGAACUGCCCUGCCUCUGAGUUACUGUGGAAAAUGAGCUUAUAUAUGAAGAAGUCAGCGAGUGGACAAAGCCAGGCGCAAUGGAUAGCAAAGAUGUGGAAGUCUCCUCGAUUCAAGUUACAAGAAAACCGCAGCAUGGAGUCUGCUCUCAGCUGUUGGGGAAUUACCGAUGCCUUUGACUAAGUCAAGACUGACUUUUCCAGAAUAUCACCCAAGAGAUAGAGCCGUCCCUGUCCAAGUUUGUGCGCUAGCCCUUCAUGGAGGUCAGAGAGGAAGAAACAAAGGCAGCUGUGGCCUCGGCGGUCACAGUGUCAGAACGCACAAGCCCCAUAAAGAGGUUUCACGCAGGCCACCCAUCCCUUUUCAUUCUCCAGCAGAACAGGACAGAGAGCGUUCUGUUCUGCGGAAGGUCUUCCACUCUACAAGGCAAUCCCUCCAGCUGCUUUGCUGUAUUGUGCUGUCUCCUGUCACACUAUGAAUGCAGUGACCUCAGCCAGCAACAGGGAGAACCCCCCUGCCUCCCGAACAAAGGACCUCACGUGAAAUCCUGAGCUCAGAGCUUACAGAUAUGUGUGCGCUUUCACUUUACAUCGGCCGUGACUUCCAAACAACUUCAGGAAACUUUAGGAUCUCUGAGGUAUACUGGAGAUGACAGCAGCGUAGAAUGUUCAUUUGGAUUUAGAACAGAAAUGCUUAUUUUAUAUUUGGCUGCUCCCAAACUGUCCCCAGACUUCCUCUCCAGUGGUUACCCUCCACUGCCCUGGAUGUCCCACGUUUACACUCCACACUCACACCUCCACCUUAACAAAGUCCUCCACUGGGUCAAACCAUACAUCGCUUCGUCUCUGUAGUGAUGACUUCCUGUCCUCUGCUCUGUGGAUAAAGACCCCAGAUAAAGAUGCCUGUGUUGCUCAACUCUUGUAAAUACUCUUGAGACAUUUUGAAAGCAGAAGGAAAGGAGACAGACGGGGAAAAUAAAAGGGAUGGUCUGCUUGUGCGGAAACGUUUUGAGAAUGCCCUUCCCUAAGAGAGAACAGUAAAAGUGAGCAAUACUUCCU
Homo sapiens (human) is the source of this 1347-nucleotide long non-coding RNA. Ensembl annotates it as serpin family B member 9 pseudogene 1. Its record names the gene SERPINB9P1. NCBI's taxonomy places the organism in Eukaryota, Metazoa, Chordata, Mammalia, Primates, Hominidae. The record is from Ensembl.